GACGAACGCUGGCGGCGCGCUUAACACAUGCAAGUCGAACGGAAAGGCCUGCUUUCCCUUGUGGAUUGCGGGUACUCGAGUGGCGAACGGGUGAGUAGCACGUGAGUGAUCUGCCCCCAACUUGGGUAUAAGCCUGGGAAACUGGGUCUAAUUCCCGAUAGGACUGCAGGGUGGUGCCUGUGGUGGAAAACGAUUUUCUAGUGGUUGGGGAUGAGCUCGCGGCCUAUCAGCUUGUUGGUGGGGUAAUGGCCUACCAAGGCGGCGACGGGUAGCCGGCCUGAGAGGGUGGACGGCCACAUUGGGACUGAGAUACGGCCCAGACUCCGACGGGAGGCAGCAGUGGGGAAUAUUGCACAAUGGGCGGAAGCCUGAUGCAGCGACGCCGCGUGGGGGAUGACGGCCUUCGGGUUGUAAACUCCUUUCGACCGCGAGGAAGCCACCUGGUUGGAAGGGUGGUGACGGUAGUGGUAGAAGAAGCACCGGCUAACUACGUG
This 494-nucleotide ribosomal RNA is filed under the name uncultured bacterium. RNAcentral's name for it is "partial 16S ribosomal RNA". It matches the Rfam family "Bacterial small subunit ribosomal RNA", at positions 28 to 507 of the family's 1533-position model. The record is from RNAcentral.